RNAcentral lists this ribosomal RNA (492 nucleotides) under uncultured bacterium. RNAcentral describes it as "partial 16S ribosomal RNA". It matches the Rfam family "Bacterial small subunit ribosomal RNA", at positions 29 to 507 of the family's 1533-position model. The record is from RNAcentral.
AGUGAACGCUGGCGGUAGGCCUAACACAUGCAAGUCGAACGGCAGCACAGUAAGAGCUUGCUCUUACGGGUGGCGAGUGGCGGACGGGUGAGGAAUACAUCGGAAUCUACUUUUUCGUGGGGGAUAACGUAGGGAAACUUACGCUAAUACCGCAUACGACCUACGGGUGAAAGCAGGGGAUCUUCGGACCUUGCGCGAUUGAAUGAGCCGAUGUCGGAUUAGCUAGUUGGCGGGGUAAAGGCCCACCAAGGCGACGAUCCGUAGCUGGUCUGAGAGGAUGAUCAGCCACACUGGAACUGAGACACGGUCCAGACUCCUACGGGAGGCAGCAGUGGGGAAUAUUGGACAAAGGGCGCAAGCCUGAUCCAGCCAUACCGCGUGGGUGAAGAAGGCCUUCGGGUUGUAAAGCCCUUUUGUUGGGAGAGAAAAGCAGCAGGUUAAUACCCCGCUGUUCUGACGGUACCCAAAGAAUAAGCACCGGCUAACUUCGUG